ACUAGAGCUACUUGGACUCACCUUAUGGGGUCCAAGAGCAAUGCCUUUCCCCUUAUCAAAGCUUUCAUUGCCAUGAUCAAAACUCAAUUCCAGGCUGUUGUGCAAACAAUUAGAAGUGACAAUGCUUUUGAACUUGGGUCUAGUGGUUAUGACAGCAGUUUCUUUGCUGAAAAUGGAAUAAUAGACCAAACCUCCCGUUCUCAUACACCACAACAAAAUGGUGUGGUUGAAAGAAAACAUAGAUAUCUGCUAGAAACCUCCAGAGCUUUACUUUUUCAUUCCCAACUACCCCUUAGAUUCUAGGGAAAUUGUAUGUUUACUGCAACCUAUCUCAUAAAUAGAUUUCCUUCCAAACUCCUUAACAAUAUAUCACCUUUUGAGUUGCUUUUUGGACAAAUUCCUUCUUAUAACCAUUUUAAAACAUUUGGUUGUCUUUGUUUUGCUAAAACAUAGAUAUCUGCUAGAAACCUCCAGAGCUUUACUUUUUCAUUCCCAACUACCCCUUAGAUUCUAGGGAAAUUGUAUGUUUACUGCAACCUAUCUCAUAAAUAGAUUUCCUUCCAAACUCCUUAACAAUAUAUCACCUUUUGAGUUGCUUUUUGGACAAAUUCCUUCUUAUAACCAUCUUAAAACAUUUGGUUGUCUUUGUUUUGCUUCAGUCCCCAAACAGAAUAGGGAUAAAUUUCAGCCCAGAGCUGAUCCUUUGUGUUUUUCUGGGAUAUCCAUUGGGUAAAAAGGGAUACAAGCUGUAAAACUUGAAGACUAAGCUUACCAUAGUCUCCAGGGAUGUGGUCUUUCAUGAAGAUGUAUUUCCCUUUGCUCCUUCAGGGAAUACCUUUCCUGUUCCUUCUCCUACUCUUAAUCCAUCCCCUGUUUAGCUUCCUCCUACUGAUGACUCCUUGCUCAAUCCUUCCUCAUCUUCUUCCACUUCUGCACCCCUUGCUUCUCCUUCUUCAUCCCCUUCUUCCCUACAUCGUUCUCCUCAUGUGCCUACUGAACCUGCUCCUAGAAGGUCCAGCAGGACAUAUGUUCCUCCUGCUCCUCUCCAACAGUAUGUCUGCAAUCUCCCUCCAUCUCUUUCUGGCUCCAGUUCUUCUUCCACUUGUCUUCAUAGUUUGGUUAACAGUGAUCUCUUCUUGGCUCCAGUUAUUCUUCCACUUGCCUUCACAGUUUGGUUAACAGUGAAGAGGUAGAGCCUACCUCUUAUCAGCAGGCUGCCUCUCUCCCUGCAUGGCAGGAGGCAAUGAUAAAGGAGUUUGCAGCCUUGGAAGCUAAUCACACUUGGUCUAUAGUUCAGC
Molecule: long non-coding RNA, 1298 nt
Filed under: Nicotiana benthamiana
Lineage: Eukaryota; Viridiplantae; Streptophyta; Magnoliopsida; Solanales; Solanaceae
Description: long non-coding RNA (NBEN_LNC030684)
Source: RNAcentral